Molecule: long non-coding RNA, 850 nt
Organism: Chenopodium quinoa (quinoa)
Lineage: Eukaryota; Viridiplantae; Streptophyta; Magnoliopsida; Caryophyllales; Amaranthaceae
Exons: 3
Source: RefSeq, a predicted model, not a curated record
ACGGCUUUUUAGAUCCGUUGCAUUAGUUGAGCAGAAGAAUCUAAUACAACGGCUAAAUAAGCUAAUGCAACGACAAAGAAAUUCAAUAAUACGGAGAGGCGCUGAAAAUUUCACUUAGUCCCUCUAAUUUUUUCCCCAAAUUUUGAACCUUCUACUACAUCACUGCCACACUUACAAGAUAAACCAAAAAGAAAAGAAACUCUCUUAUCCUCUCUCUCUCUCUCCUCCUUUCCCCAAUUCCUCAUUUUUUCUCAAUCUCAUGCUCCUACAAUGGCAGUCGCUGCUACUCAUUUCUUCGUCUACGCUUUAACCCUUCUAAAAUUUGCUCAUUAGUUUAUUAUUCAUAAGAAAUUUGGGUUGAGUUCUUUUUAUAAGUUUUCUCUUUUCUUUGUUUCCUUCUCUUCCACUCAAAUUCUUCUGAUUUCUACUAUUGCCCAAAUCUCAAGGAAAAUAUCGUUAUUUCUUCUCAUUUUAUGGGCUAUUAGCCCCAAUUUCAACUAGUAAAAUUGGUGCCCCUCUGUAGGCUACGAUGCUUCUUCUGAUUUCGGCUAGUUCUUUGUCACAUUUCUUUCUAACCACUUAUUUGAGGUGCAUGGGGAGCUAAAUGGAGCUGAAGUAUAGUAACUAGCUAGUCAUCUAACAAAUGGCGCAUAUAUGUUGGCGACUCUUAUUCAAGUUCAAGUUUGUGAAGAUUUGGAAAUUCCGGCUUAAAUAUAUGUUGAAAAUUUGUAUUUUGGAGGAUUAAAUUAAUUAUAUAACUUUUAUUUAUUAUUAGUAGGGUGUCAUACAAAAAACAAGCAACUAAUAUUUUAUAAUGUACGUAUUUAGCAUUAUAAUUAUUUUAUAUAAA